RNAcentral lists this ribosomal RNA (406 nucleotides) under uncultured bacterium. Its description in RNAcentral is "partial 16S ribosomal RNA". It matches the Rfam family "Bacterial small subunit ribosomal RNA", at positions 30 to 526 of the family's 1533-position model. The record is from RNAcentral.
AUUGAACGCUGGCGGCAGGCCUAAUACAUGCAAGUCGAACGAGUGGCGGACGGGUGAGUAACGUCUGGGAAACUGCCUGAUGGAGGGGGAUAACUACUGGAAACGUUAGCAAUUACCGCAUACCAUCAGAUUUGCCCAGAUGGGGUUAGCUUGUUGGUGGGGUAACGGCUCACCAAGGCGACGAUCCCUAGCUGGUCUGAGAGGUUGACCAGCCACACUGGAACGGGGACACGUCCCAAACUCCUACGGGAGGCAGCGGUGGGGAAUAUUGCACAAUGGGCGCAAGCCUGAUGCAGCCAUGCCGCGUGUAUGAAGAAGGCCUUCGGGUUUUAAAGUACUUUCAGCGGGGAGGCGUUACCCACAGAAGAAGCACCGGCUAACUCCGUGCCAGCAGCCGCGGUAAUUC